This 725-nucleotide long non-coding RNA is filed under the name Cyanistes caeruleus (blue tit). RNAcentral describes it as "lncRNA (ENSCCEG00000010565.1)". Lineage: Eukaryota; Metazoa; Chordata; Aves; Passeriformes; Paridae. The record is from RNAcentral.
AUGGGCAACUCCAAACCCUUGGGUGACCAGGGACCCCCAGGCACCACCAGCUGUGCUCCCAGAGCCCCUCAGCAGCCAGAUCUGUCAUUUCUGAGCAGCAGCUUGGCCACGGGGCCAAGGCUAUGGCGAGGCCUCGCUCUGCUGCCUGUGAUCUGCAGAGCCGCCAUCCCCACACCCGCUGACGGGAAGCGGAGGCCCACACACAACUCCUGCUUCCUCGUCAAGCCCUGCCGCGUCCCCAGCUCCGGCCUUGGCUGCCACCAUGCCAGGGAAUGGCGGCAAUGGCUGGGAGAUGGGUGGGAUGGGGGACCACGGUUCCCCCCUCAGACACGUACUCACCGUGAGGCGGCUGCACGGCUGCUACGCGUGGGGCCGGCGAGUGGGAGAGCCUCGCUCGGCCACCGGCCAGGAGCUGCGACCCGAGGAGCCUCCGUGGAGUGUGGGUACCGCUGCCCUGUCCACGUGACGACAGCUUUGAGAAGGGGUGGCUGCCUCAAGCCCCACACCCAAAGCGAAGGCUGUGCUCUGCUCCGGCCAGGCGGCUGCUGGUAACCAGGCUGAAGAGAGGAGAAAAACUAAUGAAAACAGAACUCGGGAAGAAGCGCCAGGCCUGGAGUGGCUUCCGCCCCGAUCCCCAGCAAUUAUCAGCCACAUGCCAGAUGUUCCGAUGCGAUGCCAAUGUCAGAGAAAAUAAAUCUGUGUCGGGUUCAAGGUCCCUGCCGGGC